CCCUUAGAUGUUCUGGGCUGCACGCGCGCUACACUGAUACCUUCAGCGAGUCCACCACCUUGCCUGGGAGGGUGGGGUAACCUCUGGAAAGUGCAUCGUGAUGGGGAUCGAUUAUUGUAAUUAUUAAUCUUCAACGAGGAAUUCCUAGUAAGCAUGUGUCAUCAGCCCGCGCUGAUUACGUCCCUGCCCUUUGUACACACCGCCCGUCGCUCCUACCGAUUGAAUGUUCCGGUGAGCUCUUCGGACUGCGCGGUCUGCAGUUUCUGCGUUCCGUGCGGAAAGUUGCGCAAACCUUAACAUUUAGAGGAAGGAGAAGUCGUAACA
RNAcentral lists this ribosomal RNA (324 nucleotides) under uncultured eukaryote. Its description in RNAcentral is "partial 18S ribosomal RNA". It matches the Rfam family "Eukaryotic small subunit ribosomal RNA", at positions 1470 to 1796 of the family's 1831-position model. The record is from RNAcentral.